Molecule: ribosomal RNA, 301 nt
Filed under: uncultured bacterium
Lineage: Bacteria
Description: partial 16S ribosomal RNA
Rfam family: Bacterial small subunit ribosomal RNA
Source: RNAcentral
CAGUCGCCGCGGUAAUACGUAGGUCCUGAGCGUUGUCCGGAUUUAUUGGGCGUAGAGCGAGCGCAGGCGGUUAGAUAAGUCUGAAGUUAAAGGCUGUGGCUUAACCAUAGUACGCUUUGGAAACUGUUUAACUUGAGUGCAAGAGGGGAGAGUGGAAUUCCAUGUGUAGCGGUGAAAUGCGUAGAUAUAUGGAGGAACACCGGUGGCGAAAGCGGCUCUCUGGCUUGUAACUGACGCUGAGGCUCGAAAGCGUGGGGAGCAAACAGGAUUAGAUACCCGCGUAGUCCCUGUCUCUUAUACA